Molecule: long non-coding RNA, 961 nt
Organism: Aedes albopictus (Asian tiger mosquito)
Lineage: Eukaryota; Metazoa; Arthropoda; Insecta; Diptera; Culicidae
Exons: 2
Source: RefSeq, a predicted model, not a curated record
GCCGCAUGGGACGACGUGUAAUUUUUCCUAUCUUCCCUCUCUUUCUAACAAUUUGCCUCACGAUUUUGAAGAUGCAAAUAUCAAUUUGCACUGCACUGGCGUAGCUGAAACCUUAGUCGAUUGUGCACCGCCAGUGAGCAAAUGAACGAUCAAAUUUUUAGCCAAUAAUAUGAAGUAGAAGUUGAGAUUUGCAUCUUACUAACAACAGAGCAAUGGCGUACGAUUCAACCACCGUCCCGUCCGGCCUUAAGCAUCGGUAUCCUAAGAACACCAUUGUCAUAAAAUUCCUUGAAGUAAUUCUGAUGAAUUUAUUGAGCCUAUUUGGGUUUGACUUGUGUUAAGAACUGGCAUCGUGAAAUGACAAUUCGUAUGCAAUUUCUUAUUUAUUUAUUUAUUAUUACAUCAACCGACUUAUUGUCCCAAUGAUGGUUUUCACUUAAAAAUAACAACAAAGCUCGGUCAAAUAACAGUAAAAAUAAUACGUAAAACUUGGAGAAAUUAUGAUUAAAUUAUGUAUUGAAAAUAUUUUUUUUAAUUUGAAUUGAUGUUGUACACGAAAAGAAGUCCAAUGAUUUUAUCAAAAUAUGUGUCCAAACAUAUACUUUCUUCUAAGAGUUCAUUCUGUUUUCCAUUAAGAUUUUUUAUAUUUAUAAUAUACAAGAUAAUAUACGCCACAUAUAAUUUCAAAAAAAAAAUGUAAGUGAAAUUGAUUUAUGAAAUCAUUCAUUCAAAAUCUAGAACCUUCCACACACACACUUCAAAUAUAAAAAGGAAUUUCAGCCACCAAUGAACUUUGUUUUGAUUCCAACAGCAAGAUAGCUAAACACGUGAGCUUCUUCAAGACGAACUGGUUGCGUCAGACCCCUACGAACAUGAAUUCUCGUUGUCUACGAAGCAAUUUCUCCAGGAAACCCUGGAGCUACUAUGUGCCACGGAGGAUCCAUCCAAUCCUCGAUCCAAA